AAGGUCGUAACAAGGUUUCCCGUAGGUGAACCCUGCGGAAGGAUCAUUAUCGAGAUAGGGUCCUUCGGGGCCCGACCUCCAACCCACUGCUUACUAAAAGCCCAUGUUGCCUCGGUGAAAGCGUCGGUGAGCUUCAGUAGAAGCCCCGCCUCCAACCCUAAUUUCAGGGAUUAGAGUGCUCUCGCCGGCGGAAAUUAUACACAAAAAUCUCUUCUGAAACCCGGUCCCUCUGAGUGAAAAAUUUUCAAUACUUCAAAAAC
This 260-nucleotide unclassified non-coding RNA is filed under the name plant metagenome. Its description in RNAcentral is "partial contains small subunit ribosomal RNA and internal transcribed spacer 1". The record is from RNAcentral.